Long non-coding RNA from Platichthys flesus (European flounder), 2021 nucleotides. RefSeq lists it as uncharacterized. The record is from RefSeq and is a predicted model, not a curated record. The transcript has 4 exons. NCBI's taxonomy places the organism in Eukaryota, Metazoa, Chordata, Actinopteri, Pleuronectiformes, Pleuronectidae.
GUUGUGUCCUCAUCUGUUUCCACUGUGUCUGUGUGGCAGGACUCUGGUGCUGUGAUGUCACUUCCUCUCAAACAAAAUACUUGCCAUUCAGGAAGCAGGCUGGUUGAAAGCAGCGGUUGGGCCUCAACCAAUUAAGUUGCAGAGGGGAGCGGCGGCGGGGCCUGUUGAGCAGCAGGGGGCAGCAGCAGAGAGCAGACGUUUCAAACAGCCAGUGAACGCUGCAGCUCUUUUCCUCAGGGACUUGUUAAUCCACUGGAAACAAGCCACAGACAUCCCACACAAUUGACUUUGUGCCGUGUCAGGGAAGCGUGUACGUCAGGGACACACCGGAGGCAGAAUCGCAAAUUCUGUGUGAGCCGCCGCCUGACUCUUCACACAGGGAGCCAUCCAGGAGGAUGUUUCAGAUGCUGGCUUGCCUACAGUUGGUACAUGUGCACAAGUGAUAGGAAUCCGAGGCUGUUUUUCAAGACAUAGCACACCUAUAAUUUGAAGUGCAUGUUUUAUUAAAACUAUUUCAGAUAAUUGAAUGUCUACUGAUGCAUGUUUAAAUGAUUUAAUUCUUUGAUUUGGGUUUUUAAGCUAUAUUAGGGAUUAAGGUGUAAACAGAGACAGUUUCUCUGUUAGAGAAGGAAAUUCUCUUCUUCUAAUAUUAAUGGUUUAUCUAAAUUCUUCUAAUAGACCUGUAGUUUAUCUACUUGACGGUUAGUUAUGUACGAGGUAGGUCUUUUAACAGCUCAUUUGUUUUGAAUACACAAGUAUCCACCAUCGCUACAACUGUGUACCCAUCAUCCAUAUAGUGUUGUGUACGACUUUGAAGGAAGUUUACUCCGGUUAGUACAAAACGUUUGUGUUGCUUGUACUGUAUGCAGUGUUAUUAAUUUAAAUUUUCACCCUGACACAGUAUGCUUGUUGCAGACAGAGUUCCAAAGAAGAUGUGUUGGUAGAAACAUUUAAACCAUGAUGCUGUGCUCUCAACGCAUACUGCAUGUGACUAUGCAGUAUUCUUUCAUUAGCAAAGCUCAUUCAGGACAACAGCUGGAGUGCAGCUGUUUGGUCACAGCCAUAGAAACCUGAGUAAUGGUACUGAUUAUGUAUUCUCGUUGCUCAGGUUCGUGCUGCAGAAAGAUGGGAAUGUUUUUUGAGAGAAGAUUCCAGAUUUAUUCAAUAGACUGGCACUCAGUAGAGCUCAACAGAGCCGUAUAGGUUCAUCUCUGAUCCAUGCAGCUUCCUUCUACCAAGUUGUGUGGUUAUUGGUCAAGUAGUUUCCAGUAGAUACACACAUUUAUCAAGGAAAUGUCACCAUCAUUAAUAAUAAUCUGAAACACAACAGGAAAUUAAAGGUAGAAUGAAAUGUUUCUAGAAUAUCUAAAUAGUUGACGGGUCAUUUUCUGUUAAUCGACAUAUCAAUUCAUUUAUUUUAAAGCUUAUUUUCCCCUGCUACUUAGUCUAUAGGGUUUUCAUAUUGUGUUUUAUUUUACAUUGUAUAUAUUGGUUUAUUUUUGUCGGGCACUGGUUGCUGGUUGUACAUAAAAUUGCCCUUGAAUGAUAAUAAAGAUUUUCUUUUAUGGACAACUUUAGUUAAUGAGUUUCACAGUUUCACAAACCAAGCAGGAGACAAACCAAGCAGGCGCAGCAGAGGAACCCAGCAACCAGCAGGGGGCAGCCUCAGGACAUCACAUGGAAACUAGCUGCAGCAGACUGUGAUUAUUGUAAAACGUCAAUGGACAAGGCAACCACCUAUGUCGCCUGUACCAGGAUCCGCCCCUGGACCAGCCGUCUCAGAUCUCCGGCCCGGAGUUGCUGUGACCUCGGCUGUACCUGGACACGAUGGACUGGACGUCUGCUGCUGCAUCAAUAUUAAAAAAUGUUUCAAGAACAGGCUUUAAAUCCUGGUAGAGCAACCAGCGUAUUAUUAUGAAUCCAACGAAAUGUCGAGCCUAAUUUAUUGCCAGACUCGACGUUUUUGUUCCUGAUUAUUUAUUCAUUGUUUAUUUUGUUUUUUAUCAAAAUCCACUGUUUUA